RNAcentral lists this ribosomal RNA (615 nucleotides) under uncultured bacterium. Its description in RNAcentral is "bacterial SSU rRNA". It matches the Rfam family "Bacterial small subunit ribosomal RNA", at positions 338 to 943 of the family's 1533-position model. The record is from RNAcentral.
CCUACGGGAGGCAGCAGUAGGGAAUCUUCCGCAAUGGACGAAAGUCUGACGGAGCAACGCCGCGUGAACGAAGAAGGCCUUCGGGUCGUAAAGUUCUGUUGUUAGGGAAGAACAAGUACCAGAGUAACUGCUGGUACCUUGACGGUACCUAACCAGAAAGCCACGGCUAACUACGUGCCAGCAGCCGCGGUAAUACGUAGGUGGCAAGCGUUGUCCGGAAUUAUUGGGCGUAAAGCGCGCGCAGGUGGUUCCUUAAGUCUGAUGUGAAAGCCCACGGCUCAACCGUGGAGGGUCAUUGGAAACUGGGGAACUUGAGUGCAGAAGAGGAAAGUGGAAUUCCAAGUGUAGCGGUGAAAUGCGUAGAGAUUUGGAGGAACACCAGUGGCGAAGGCGACUUUCUGGUCUGUAACUGACACUGAGGCGCGAAAGCGUGGGGAGCAAACAGGAUUAGAUACCCUGGUAGUCCACGCCGUAAACGAUGAGUGCUAAGUGUUAGAGGGUUUCCGCCCUUUAGUGCUGCAGCUAACGCAUUAAGCACUCCGCCUGGGGAUACGGCCGCAAGGCUGAAACUCAAAGGAAUUGACGGCUGAGACCGNGCGAGCGACACGAGGAGAG